Molecule: ribosomal RNA, 1542 nt
Filed under: Salmonella enterica subsp. enterica serovar Pullorum
Lineage: Bacteria; Pseudomonadati; Pseudomonadota; Gammaproteobacteria; Enterobacterales; Enterobacteriaceae
Also listed under: 7 other names
Description: bacterial SSU rRNA
Rfam family: Bacterial small subunit ribosomal RNA
Source: RNAcentral
AAAUUGAAGAGUUUGAUCAUGGCUCAGAUUGAACGCUGGCGGCAGGCCUAACACAUGCAAGUCGAACGGUAACAGGAAGCAGCUUGCUGCUUUGCUGACGAGUGGCGGACGGGUGAGUAAUGUCUGGGAAACUGCCUGAUGGAGGGGGAUAACUACUGGAAACGGUGGCUAAUACCGCAUAACGUCGCAAGACCAAAGAGGGGGACCUUCGGGCCUCUUGCCAUCAGAUGUGCCCAGAUGGGAUUAGCUUGUUGGUGAGGUAACGGCUCACCAAGGCGACGAUCCCUAGCUGGUCUGAGAGGAUGACCAGCCACACUGGAACUGAGACACGGUCCAGACUCCUACGGGAGGCAGCAGUGGGGAAUAUUGCACAAUGGGCGCAAGCCUGAUGCAGCCAUGCCGCGUGUAUGAAGAAGGCCUUCGGGUUGUAAAGUACUUUCAGCGGGGAGGAAGGUGUUGUGGUUAAUAACCGCAGCAAUUGACGUUACCCGCAGAAGAAGCACCGGCUAACUCCGUGCCAGCAGCCGCGGUAAUACGGAGGGUGCAAGCGUUAAUCGGAAUUACUGGGCGUAAAGCGCACGCAGGCGGUCUGUCAAGUCGGAUGUGAAAUCCCCGGGCUCAACCUGGGAACUGCAUUCGAAACUGGCAGGCUUGAGUCUUGUAGAGGGGGGUAGAAUUCCAGGUGUAGCGGUGAAAUGCGUAGAGAUCUGGAGGAAUACCGGUGGCGAAGGCGGCCCCCUGGACAAAGACUGACGCUCAGGUGCGAAAGCGUGGGGAGCAAACAGGAUUAGAUACCCUGGUAGUCCACGCCGUAAACGAUGUCUACUUGGAGGUUGUGCCCUUGAGGCGUGGCUUCCGGAGCUAACGCGUUAAGUAGACCGCCUGGGGAGUACGGCCGCAAGGUUAAAACUCAAAUGAAUUGACGGGGGCCCGCACAAGCGGUGGAGUAUGUGGUUUAAUUCGAUGCAACGCGAAGAACCUUACCUGGUCUUGACAUCCACAGAAGAAUCCAGAGAUGGAUUUGUGCCUUCGGGAGCUGUGAGACAGGUGCUGCAUGGCUGUCGUCAGCUCGUGUUGUGAAAUGUUGGGUUAAGUCCCGCAACGAGCGCAACCCUUAUCCUUUGUUGCCAGCGAUUAGGUCGGGAACUCAAAGGAGACUGCCAGUGAUAAACUGGAGGAAGGUGGGGAUGACGUCAAGUCAUCAUGGCCCUUACGACCAGGGCUACACACGUGCUACAAUGGCGCAUACAAAGAGAAGCGACCUCGCGAGAGCAAGCGGACCUCAUAAAGUGCGUCGUAGUCCGGAUUGGAGUCUGCAACUCGACUCCAUGAAGUCGGAAUCGCUAGUAAUCGUGGAUCAGAAUGCCACGGUGAAUACGUUCCCGGGCCUUGUACACACCGCCCGUCACACCAUGGGAGUGGGUUGCAAAAGAAGUAGGUAGCUUAACCUUCGGGAGGGCGCUUACCACUUUGUGAUUCAUGACUGGGGUGAAGUCGUAACAAGGUAACCGUAGGGGAACCUGCGGUUGGAUCACCUCCUUA